UGGGGAAUCUUCCGCAAUGGGCGAAAGCCUGACGGAGCAACGCCGCGUGAGUGAAGACGGCCUUCGGGUUGUAAAACUCUGUGAUUCGGGACGAAAGAUAAGUAGACGAAUAAUCUGCAUAAGUGACGGUACCGAAAAAGCAAGCCACGGCUAACUACGUGCCAGCAGCCGCGGUAAUACGUAGGUGGCAAGCGUUGUCCGGAAUUAUUGGGCGUAAAGCGCGCGCAGGCGGCUACUUAAGUCCAUCUUAAAAGUGCGGGGCUUAACCCCGUGAUGGGAUGGAAACUGCGAAGCUGGAGUGUCGGAGAGGAAAGUGGAAUUCCUAGUGUAGCGGUGAAAUGCGUAGAGGUUAGGAAGAACACCGGUGGCGAAGGCGACUUUCUGGACGACAACUGACGCUUAGGCGCGAAAGCGUGGGGAGCAAACAGG
Molecule: ribosomal RNA, 429 nt
Filed under: Verrucomicrobiota bacterium
Lineage: Bacteria; Pseudomonadati; Verrucomicrobiota
Description: Verrucomicrobia bacterium partial 16S ribosomal RNA
Rfam family: Bacterial small subunit ribosomal RNA
Source: RNAcentral